ACGCACGCUGGCGGCGUGCUUCACCCAUGCAAGUCGAACGGAAAGGCCCUGCUUUUGUGGGGUGCUCGAGUGGCGAACGGGUGAGUAACACGUGAGUAACCUGCCCUUUACUUUGGGAUAACUUCAGGAAACUGGGGCUAAUACCGGAUAGGAGCUCCUGCUGCAUGGUGGGGGUUGGAAAGUUUCGGCGGUUGGGGAUGGACUCGCGGCUUAUCAGCUUGUUGGUGGGGUAGUGGCUUACCAAGGCUUUGAUGGGUAGCCGGCCUGAGAGGGUGACCGGCCACAUUGGGACUGAGAUACGGCCCAGACUCCUACGGGAGGCAGCAGUGGGGAAUAUUGCACAAUGGGCGGAAGCCUGAUGCAGCAACGCCGCGUGCGGGAUGACGGCCUUCGGGUUGUAAACCGCUUUCGCCUGUGACGAAGCGUGAGUGACGGUAAUGGGUAAAGAAGCACCGGCUAACUACGUG
This 467-nucleotide ribosomal RNA is filed under the name uncultured bacterium. RNAcentral's name for it is "partial 16S ribosomal RNA". It matches the Rfam family "Bacterial small subunit ribosomal RNA", at positions 29 to 507 of the family's 1533-position model. The record is from RNAcentral.